UACGUAGGGGGCAAGCGUUGUCCGGAUUUACUGGGCGUAAAGAGCGCGCAGGCGGUCGAAUAAGUCGAAUGUGAAAGCCCCCGGCUUAACUGGGGAGGGUCAUUCGAUACUGUUCGACUUGAAGGCAGGAGAGAGAAGCAGAAUUCCCGGUGUAGUGGUGAAAUGCGUAGAUAUCUGGAGGAACACCGGUGGCGAAGGCGGCAUCCUGGACCGGCAUUGACGCUGAGGAGCGAAAGCCAGGGGAGCAAACGGG
Molecule: ribosomal RNA, 253 nt
Filed under: uncultured bacterium
Lineage: Bacteria
Description: partial 16S ribosomal RNA
Rfam family: Bacterial small subunit ribosomal RNA
Source: RNAcentral